This 4672-nucleotide long non-coding RNA is filed under the name Salvia miltiorrhiza (redroot sage). Its description in RNAcentral is "long non-coding RNA (SMIL_LNC002635)". Lineage: Eukaryota; Viridiplantae; Streptophyta; Magnoliopsida; Lamiales; Lamiaceae. The record is from RNAcentral.
CUUUGGGGUCUUGUUGUCGUCUGUUGUAUGAGUGUGUAGCGGCGUCGGGACGGCAACGAGUUUUCUGCCGGUUGUCCGGCCGGAUGUGUGCGAGGGUGAUGGGCGAGCAGCUACUGCUGUUGGUGAGGCAAGAGAAAAAUGGGAGGAACUUGAGGGCUGGAAUCGGCAGGUGGCGACUUCUGGCUAUCACUGCCGGAGUUAGAGAAUAGGGGUCGAUGGCGGUGGUGGUCUAUUGACUGUUGUCGCCGGAGAUCGAGACUAGGGUGGUGGUUGAAGGAGAUAGAGUCGAGGGAGACGAGGAGAGAGGCGGCAAUGGCUGCCAAUAGUUGUUGUCAUCGGUACAGAGAGAGAGAGAGUCGGCUGGAUGGAGUGUCUCGCCGGGAUUUUGGAGGCGGCGGCAGUGGCUUCUCGCUGCUGACUCGCCGGAGUUCUAGAGAGGAAUAGUGGCGGCGCGAUUUGGUUAGGUUGGAGGGAGAUGAGGCCGGCGGCCUUGGUGCCGUCGAGCUGAGGAGAGAAUCCGAGCGUCGUUAGCGGCCGUCGCUGUUGCUCCGGCAAGCUUUGGCGGUGGCGGAAUUCUGUGAGUGUGAGAGUGACAAGAUGGGGGGGGAUGGCGCGGCGUGAAAUUGAGAGAGAGUGAGAUGGAUUGAGGAACCGUGAGAGAGAGAUUUGAGAGUGAAGGCGGAGUCAGCGUGGGGUGAGGAAGAAGAAAAGAAGGUGUUGGGCUAGGUUUUGAGUUUUGGACCGAGUUAGUUGGGCUGUUGGGCUUCUGUGUGGGCCGGUUUUUAAUUUAUUUAUCAGUUGGGUUUUUAAUUUAUUUAUCACUUGGGCCCUUUUUAUUUUAAAAAGAAAACGCUGGGCCUUAAUUCAGUUUUUAAAAGAUGGGCCCUAUUAUUGUUUAAUUAACUUGGGCUGUGCAGAUUUUCAUUUAAAGGGACUCUACCAUUUUAUUUAAUUAGACUAUUAAUUAUUUUGAUUAAUUAUUUUUAAAGACUUUGGAUUGCCUUUAAUUAAUUAAAUUGGGCUUUCUUAUUUUUAAUUAAUUGAACUAUUAUUAGUUUGAUUAAUUUAUUUAAAGGAUAAUUUUUAUAAUAAUAUUAAAUUAUUAUUAAGUGCAUAUUUUAAGUAAUUACUUAUCAUAUGCUAAGCAUGACAUGACAUUUCAUUUGCAUCAUGAAAUAAAAAGUAUUUAUGAUUUAAUUGGUUUUAUUUAUAAUUCCAAUUAUUAAAGAAAGAUGAGUAAGAAUAUUGUUGGUGUUCUUAACUCAAGGAAUUUAGUUUUCAAUUAUUUAUUAUUAAAUUUUGAAAACCCGGCUAAGUGAAUCAUAGAAUAUUAAGCACUACACCAUGACUUAAGAUUAGCUUCACGAGACCUAUUAAGAAUAGAAUUUCUUGUAGGCUUUGUGACCAGGGGGAUUAGCGCUGCUUUCCCAAGACAGGUUUUUAUGUGUAUGAUCUUCAGGCUUUGCCUAUCCAGGUGGGCUUACUUUCCAAAUGUACAAAGUAUGAUUGAGUUAUUAAGCUCUAAAUGUUUCAAUGAAAUGCAAAUUGUUUAUUUAAUGUAAUGAAAACUGUUUAUCCAAUAAAAUAUUUUGUGCACUCUGCUCUGUUUAAGGCUCGCCAUAAUGAAUCGAUCGAGGUUCUCUUAUGACCUAACACGUUAUUUGAGAAUUGUGUACACCUAUUAGCUGACUCGGUGGGUUGAUCUCCAUUCGGGCACUAAUCAUGUAUGAGGCGUUAUAAGGGUGCUCGACGGGAUGUGUUCCGGAGCAUUGGGUCCCAAAUGGGAGCUUGGCUGGGUUACGCCCUCAGUCCAAGAAAGCGGGAGAAAUGGAUCCGUCGGUGGCUAAAAGGUCCGGGAUCACAGCGAGUAACAGAAAGGGAGUGUGACAUGUGCGCACAAAUGAAAGAAAAUGUUUUAACAUGCUUAGAAGUUAUUUCAAUUUAAAACCUUCUAAGUCAUGUCAAGUAUAAUUGGAUAAACUGCUCUUUACGAAAAUAUGAAAUGUUUAUGAAAAUGCAUGCCCACUAAGUACAUUAGUACUUAGCCCAAAAAUACUUUCAAAUGUUUUCAGGUUGGCUGGCCGGUGCUGACGGGACGGAGCUGAGGCUAGCGAUAAAUUCCUAUGUUAGACUUCCGCUGUAGCAAUUACUCAUAUCAGUCUUUUGUUUUCCCAACUUAAGAUCUUCAUGUUAAAUUUCAAAUGAUAUACCUGACCGAGCUUAGACUCUUCACUACUAAAUUUAUGCCAAUGAAUGUCGGUUGUCAGAAGCAUGAAACAAAACUUGUGAUCCAAAGGGGCAUAGCCCGACUCUCUAUCCUAUUAUUCGGGUUUUAACAAGGUUGUUCCUUGUUUAUUUCUAUGAAUUAGUCACACCUCGAUUAUAUUUAUUCCUUCAAGAAUUGGGGUGUGACAGAAUGGUAUCAGAGCACGAGUUUUCUUUCAUGACUCUGAUAACCAUAAGCUUUUGAUGUCGAGUCUAGAAUAGUAUCUCUAGACUUCUAAGAAUGUCAGUAGUCCUCAGCUCGCCGUCACACUGCCGCAACAAAGGUACGAUAAUAGUUUCAAAAAUAUAAAUAUAUGUAUUUCAGAUGUUAUGAAAGUUUUCAAGAAAAUGUGCGCCUUAUGUUUACGAUGCUAUGUGAAUGCUUUUUGUCGUGUUUGGGACUACCCGAACCCAUAACGACUCAAUGAAUGUAUUUCGUGUUUGGGACAACCCGAGCCCUUAACGAAUCAAUGUAUGUAUGUAUGUAUGGUCGAGUUAGAUUCCUUGAAUCUUUCUGGCAUAAGCAAAGUUUUUCAUGAAAGGGACAUUUAAUGUCCAUAUGACUCAAAAUUUCAAAGAAAGCAAAUAUAUGUAUGUAUGUAUGUAUGAAUGAAUGAUGAGAAAGCUUUAUGUUAUCAUUUUAGGUUCACUGCCUAUAUGAUUAGAAUGAUGAGUUCUUUUACAAAUCGUUUGAGAACCACCCAAUAAUGUCUUACGAAUGUUAGUCGUGAUAGCACCGCUAGAACGACAUAGAAUGGACCUAUAUGAUACCAAAGAUUUAUGAUUGAAGUACUUAGAAGUAAGUGCUUUAAGUUAGAAGUUGACUUAGAGCUUUAUAAGAGAUAAGAAGUUGACAUGAUUGGGGGCGAAGCUCCCAUUUGACUGAGUGAUUCGUUGUGCUGGGUCUGGCCAGCCCACAUAACUAAGAUCUCGGUGAUUGUCAAUUAAGAUUUUUACUUUGAGUAGAGCGUCAUCCCAAUGUAUAGAAUCUCACUAUGUAGUUCUCACAAUAAGAUUUUGCUUCCAUCACGAUAAGCAUAAUAUGAUUAGAAUGAGUUCGUUUGUCACCAGUUCUCGAGACUAUAGACAUGGUAUUCUCACAAUUAGAAAGAUUCGAUAACAAUCAAGCUAUUUAGUCGCACUGAUAGUGAAGUCUAGUAUCCCAAACUAGAUUAUCCAGAUAUGCAAUUUCGAGGACGAAAUUUUUAUAAGGAGGGAGGAAUGUAACACCCCGCUUUUUCCUAGCUAAAUUUAGAGUAAUUUUGAACUUAUAAGUCAGGAUGAUUCACGCCGGAUAUAAAGAAAAUGAAUUUAUUUUUAAUUCCAACAAAAAAAAUGAUUUACUAAAAUAUUUGUAAAUUUAGUUAUUAAAUUUAUGUGCGACGCAUAUUUAUUUAAUUUAGCAUUCAAAGCAUUUUCACGAGCUUUUAGUCAGCAAACCCUGAAGAAUUAUUACAGUUUUCAUAGUACAACCCGGAAGACUUUUUAUUUUAUUUUAUUUUAUUUCACCCACCUACUCCCACACCCACUACUCUCCAACAACUAUGCCCCUUUAAUUUUUAUAUAUCAAAACACUUUCAGCAAAAGUUGCAUCCUCCAACUUUCCCACUUUCAGCAAAAAUCCCACCUCCACCUUUCCCUUUACACCACUAUACCAACUAACACAUUUUAUAUCAGCCAAAGAAGCCACUAACACAUUAUACAGCCAUGUUAGUGUCACUCAAUCAAAACAAAUUCACCAAGAAAACACUUACUGCAGCCAACUCCAAGAACCCCAUCUCAUUGACUCGCAGCAAAUUUCCAAGCUGCCACACAAAUUCUAAAGGUUCACAUUCUUAGUACACAUUCUGCAUAAUUUCAAUUUUUUUUAUAAAAUAUGAUUAAUUGCAUUAUAUCUGAAAAUUUUGAUUUCAUCAACAAACAAGCAUUUUUAUGAAUAAACACAAGAAUAAUAAGAGUUUAUUUUUUAAAAAUAUGAUUGGAGUGUGUAUCAUUUAAAUCUGUUUAUGAACUAAGAAUGUUUUAAGUAGAAAAACGAGUUUUCUGCCGGUUGUCCGGCCGGAUGUGUGAGAAAGGAAGAACCAGCAGCUACUGUGAUGGUGAGACAAGAGAAAAAUGGGAGGAACUUGAGGGCUGGAAUCGGCAGGUGGCGACUUCUGGCUAUCACUGCCGGAGUUAGAGAAUAGGGUCGAUGGCGGUGGUGGUCUAUUGACUGUUGUCGCCGGAGAUCGAGACUAGGGUGGUGGUUGAAGGAGAUAGAGUCGAGGGAGACGAGGAGAGAGGCGGCAAUGGCUGCCAAUAGUUGUUGUCAUCGGUACAGAGAGAGAGAGUCGGCUGGAUGGAGUGUCUCGCCGGGAUUUUGGAGGCGGCGGCAGUGGCUUCUCGCUGCUGACUCGCCGGAGUUCCA